UAAAGCGUCCGUAGGCGGCCAAAUUAGUCGGGUGUAAAUUUCCAUGCCUAACAUGGAAAUCGUAUCUGAAACUGUUUGGCUACGAGUCUGAAAGAGGCCACUGGAAUUUCUAUUGGAGGAGUUAAAUCCGUAGAUAAUAGAAGGAACACCAAAAGCGAAGGCAGGUGGCUGGUUCAGUACUGACGCUCAGGGUCGAAAGCGUGGGGAGCAAACAGGAUUAGAUACCCUGGUAGUCCACGCUGUAAACUAUGAGUGCUAGGCGUUGGAGAGUUGUUUCGACCCUCUUCAGUGUCCACAGUUAACACGUUAAGCACUCCGCCUGGGGAGUACGGCCGCAAGGCUAAAACUCAAAGGAAUAGACGGGGGCCCGCACAAGCGGUGGAGCAUGGGGUUUAAUUCGAUAAUAAGCGAGGAACCUCACCUAGGCUUGACAUCCCGAGAAAGUCCUGGAAACAGGACCGUGCCUUUUGGAACUCGGUGACAGGCGCUGCAUGGUUGUCGUCAGCUCGUGCCCUGAGGUGUUCGGUUAAGUCCGUAAACGAGCGCAACCCACGUCGUGUGUUGUAUUUUUCACGCGAGACUGCCGGUUCUACGCCGGAGGAAGGUGUGGAUGACGUCAAAUCAGCAUGGCCCUUAUGCCUAGGGCCACACCCGUGCUACAAUGGAAGGUACAGUGGGUAGCCAAGGAGCAAUCCGGAGCUAAUCCCCAAAACCUUCCCAAGUUCGGAUUGAGGGCUGAAAUUCGCCCUCAUGAAGUUGGAAUCGCUAGUAACCGCGGAUCAGCCAUGUCGCGGUGAAUAUGUUCCCGGGCCUUGUACUCACCGCCCGUCACGUCAUGGAAGAUGGGAGCACCUGAAGCACCCUCGGUAAUA
Molecule: ribosomal RNA, 872 nt
Filed under: uncultured organism
Description: bacterial SSU rRNA
Rfam family: Bacterial small subunit ribosomal RNA
Source: RNAcentral